AUGGUUACUAACUAAGGUCUUACUGUUACUAAUAUUGGU
Molecule: small RNA, 39 nt
Filed under: Plasmodium falciparum 3D7
Lineage: Eukaryota; Apicomplexa; Aconoidasida; Haemosporida; Plasmodiidae
Description: Pfa-starR7308
Source: RNAcentral